CGGCCGGGUCCCCUAGGCGCGGGAUGGGCACCGACCCUCAGCAUCAGCCGAGACGGCUGGCGGGAGGGAGACCCCGAGGCCCGGACGCCGCGGCGCAGAGCGUGGCCGCCUCGCUGCUCCGGCACGGCUCGCCCAGGGCGGACUGGGGCGGCUUGGACCCCCCCCCUCCCACCCACCCCACCCACCCACCCCUCCCCCACACCCCCGCCCCCUGCCCUUCCCGAGGGCAGCAGCCGUGGCCCGGAGAUAAGCGCUAGCGCGGCGCAGGGCUCUGCCUGGGCUAGUGGCACCGACUUGGGCAGAAACUCUUAAAAUCCUGGCAGCCAAGAGGGAAGUAACCUGGGGGAAAUGGACACAAGUCCAGGCAGUGAAGUGGGAUGCGCUGGGCUCAGUAGGAAAAGAAAACGCAGAGACCUGGGAAACGCGUGCUUUUCCCGUAGGAAAAAGAGCAGUUCCGCCCACCUAAAGGAACGGAGAAGACCCGCUGCCUGCGACGUCUACACAUUCGAAAGGCAGCAGCAACCUCCCUCAUGCCGCGGAAAGGCAAAAGGAUAGGAGAAACUGCAAGGCGGCGAGACAAGUUUCCUCAACGCAGAUCUGUGACUGACGACCAUUCCCGAACUCACAGUCUCCGCGGGCGCCGCAAACAGUCGACAGGGAGCGCGGCCCACGCAGCGGCCGCCGCACCCGUGGCCUCUACUUGCUUCUGCCCUGCUGCUCGGUGUAGGGGUUUGUUUGGAGCUCGCUCGAAGAAACAAACACGCUCCUCUGACACCCCCGGCCGCCCCCGCACGCACAUCUUUGGUCUCUGCAACCGCCCCGCCUGCACAGUGCCGGCCUUUUUCGGGGCAGACUCUUUGUCUGCCUGAAACCCCGCAUUCCCGGGGCGUGCAGCUCAAGAGAACCCAGCUCCAAAACGUCUCCGAGGUUAAAUAUUGACCAGAACCUCCUUCAAGGGGCUGCAGCUGCCUGGACGAGGAAACUCCUCCCAAAGGCCCGUGCAAAGCCCGGAGGAGUGAAGAGUUGGCGCAGCGCUUACCUCGAAAGAUGUUUAAGACUGAACCAGUGAUUGUCUCCAACUCCGGGCACUCAGGGAAUCGCCUUUUCCGGUGUCCUGGCGCUCUGCGGACAAAUAAACAGCAGAGAGUAAACGGUGGCUGCGAAGGAAGGGAGCUGGAGAACCGGAGUUGGAAGUGCGGCCCUGCGCGGGCGCCAGGGUGGCCCCCGGGGUGACGCGGACACGGAGGAGUCGCCAGGGCACUCUUCCAUGAGGCGCACUCGUUGCUCGAAAGGGUCCAGUCUAAGAAUGGCCUGCAGAUGAUGAUUUAUUUUUGUAAAAUAAAUACAUACUCCAUCUCCG
This is a long non-coding RNA of Prionailurus viverrinus (fishing cat), 1360 nucleotides long. RefSeq lists it as uncharacterized. The transcript has 3 exons. The record is from RefSeq and is a predicted model, not a curated record. Lineage: Eukaryota; Metazoa; Chordata; Mammalia; Carnivora; Felidae.